RNAcentral lists this ribosomal RNA (1080 nucleotides) under Triticum aestivum (bread wheat). RNAcentral describes it as "partial small subunit ribosomal RNA". The record is from RNAcentral. Lineage: Eukaryota; Viridiplantae; Streptophyta; Magnoliopsida; Poales; Poaceae.
AUGGUGAGAACUUCACUCUAUGCAGAUGACGCAGCCAUUUUCAUGGCCCCAAUUAAAAAUGAUAUUGACAACCUCUCAGCCAUCUUGAGCGGAUUCGGGGAGGUCACCGGGCUAUGCACCAAUUUCCAAAAGAGCUCUGUUGUGGCCAUUCGAUGCAAUCACCUUAAUCUAGAGCACAUCCUUCAAAGCUUGCCGGCGAAAAGGGCGUCCUUCCCCUUAAGAUAUUUGGGCCUUCCUCUAUCCGUCUGGAAGCUUAAGUUGGUGGAUUGGCAAUUCCUUGUGGACAAGGUUGCGGGCAAGCUGGUUACCUAUGAUGGACAAAAUAUCACCACCAGUGGACGCACUGCCCUUGUCAAGUCCGUCAUCACCUCUCAAGCGAUCUACUUCAUCACGCCAUUGGUCGUACCGCCGAGCAUUCUUCAAAGCAUCAACAAACUCGAGCGAGCCUUCCUUUGGUCCAGAUCGGACAAGACGACGGGUGCCAAGUGCAAGGUGAAUUGGGAGAUUGUCUGUCGGCCGCAUGAAUAUGGUGGUCUAGGGGUCCUCAACACUGACAAAUUUGCGAGGGCCUUGCGUUUGAGGUGGCCAUGGUUUGAAUGGACGGCGCCUCACAAGAUGUGGGUCGGAUUGGGAAACCCAUGUGACGAGGAGGACCUUGACUUCUUCUAUGCAUCCACAACCAUCACCAUGGGGAAUGGUGCUAAAACACCUUUUUGGGAUUCCCCUUGGCUUCAUGGAGGCAAGCCCAAGGAUGUCGCUCCUCUCAUUUUUGAGGCCUCCUCGAGGAAGAAUUGGAAGGUGCGCGAGGCUCUAAAAAAUAAUGCGUGGAUCAUCAAAAUCAAUACCUCCACGGUCGUAUCAGUUGAACACAUCCGGCAAUUCUUCACUCUUUGGGCGCUUUUAAUUGAUGUCCACCUUGUUGGACAUGCCAAAGACACCAUUGUGUGGAAGCACACGACAAGCGGGCAUUACUCUGCGGCCUCCGCCUACAAGGCCCAAUUUCUAGGAUUGGUCGUCUCCCCCAUGGAUCAAAUGAUUUGGAAGGCUUGGGCGCCGCCAAAGGCUAAAUUCUUUGCUUGA